AGUGAACGCUGGCGGUAGGCCUAACACAUGCAAGCCGAACGGCAGCACAGUAAGAGCUUGCUCUUACGGGUGGCGAGUGGCGGACGGGUGAGGAAUACAUCGGAAUCUACUUUUUCGUGGGGGAUAACGUAGGGAAACUUACGCUAAUACCGCAUACGACCUACGGGUGAAAGCAGGGGAUCUUCGGACCUUGCGCGAUUGAAUGAGCCGAUGUCGGAUUAGCUAGUUGGCGGGGUAAAGGCCCACCAAGGCGACGAUCCGUAGCUGGUCUGAGAGGAUGAUCAGCCACACUGGAACUGAGACACGGUCCAGACUCCUACGGGAGGCAGCAGUGGGGAAUAUUGGACAAUGGGCGCAAGCCUGAUCCAGCCAUACCGCGUGGGUGAAGAAGGCCUUCGGGUUGUAAAGCCCUUUUGUUGGGAAAGAAAAGCAGCAGGUUAAUACCCCGCUGCUCUGACGGUACCCAAAGAAUAAGCACCGGCUAACUUCGUG
RNAcentral lists this ribosomal RNA (492 nucleotides) under uncultured bacterium. Its description in RNAcentral is "partial 16S ribosomal RNA". It matches the Rfam family "Bacterial small subunit ribosomal RNA", at positions 29 to 507 of the family's 1533-position model. The record is from RNAcentral.